Molecule: small nuclear RNA, 163 nt
Gene: U1
Rfam family: U1 spliceosomal RNA
About the family: U1 is a small nuclear RNA (snRNA) component of the spliceosome (involved in pre-mRNA splicing). Its 5' end forms complementary base pairs with the 5' splice junction, thus defining the 5' donor site of an intron. There are significant differences in sequence and secondary structure between metazoan and yeast U1 snRNAs, the latter being much longer (568 nucleotides as compared to 164 nucleotides in human).
Source: Ensembl
GUAGUGUCUUUGCAGGGGAGAUAACGUGAUCAAGAAGGCGGUUCACCCAGGGCGAGGCUCAGGCAUCGCACUCCAGCUGUGCCAACCCCUGCGAAUUCCCCAAAUGUGGGAAUCUCAACUGCAUAAUUUCUGGUAGUGCUCUCCCCUGGUUUUAGGGGCAGUG